GAUGAAGAACGUAGCGAAAUGCGAUACUUGGUGUGAAUUGCAGAAUCCCGUGAACCAUCGAGUCUUUGAACGCAAGUUGCGCCCGAAGCCAUCAGGUUGAGGGCACGUCUGCCUGGGCGUCACAUAUCGUUGCCCAAUGCCUAUUGCAGUGCAAUAGGAAUUUCUAGGGCGAAUGAUGGCUUCCCGUGAGCGUUGUUGCCUCGCGGUUGGUUGAAAAUCGAGUCCUUGGUAGGGUGCGCCAUGGUAGAUGGUGGUCGAGUUAGAACGAUACCGAUCAUGUGCAUGCUCCCCAAAAUAUGGCCUCUAUGACCCACACGCGUCUUUUGACGCUCAUGACGAGACCUCAGGUCAGGCGGGGCUACCCGCUGAAUUUAAGCAUAUCAAUAAGCGGAGGA
RNAcentral lists this unclassified non-coding RNA (395 nucleotides) under soil metagenome. RNAcentral describes it as "partial contains 5.8S ribosomal RNA, internal transcribed spacer 2, and large subunit ribosomal RNA". The stretch from base 1 to 122 matches the Rfam family "5.8S ribosomal RNA", at positions 35 to 154 of the family's 154-position model. The record is from RNAcentral.